GAACGCAUAUUGCACCUCUCCGGAGGUAUGCCUGUUUGAGAAUCUAUAGUAUCUUUUCCCCAGUUUUGGGGGAGAUUUGGGGCGUCUCUUUUGGGUGCCCUUAAAGCUAUAGCUUGACACUGGACGAGUGCGAGAGCGUAUGUAUUUGAAACUCUUUGAGUGCCCUAUACGAAACUCUGGCGCGAGCUCGGACUGGGCCAAGUUCACCACGGAGGUUUGAAAAAGAACCCGAACCAUGGUCUCAAAUCAGGUAGGAGGACCCGCUGAACUUAA
RNAcentral lists this unclassified non-coding RNA (273 nucleotides) under uncultured fungus. RNAcentral describes it as "sequence contains ITS2". The record is from RNAcentral. Lineage: Eukaryota; Fungi.